This 468-nucleotide ribosomal RNA is filed under the name uncultured bacterium. Its description in RNAcentral is "partial 16S ribosomal RNA". It matches the Rfam family "Bacterial small subunit ribosomal RNA", at positions 28 to 507 of the family's 1533-position model. The record is from RNAcentral.
GACGAACGCUGGCGGCGUGCUUAACACAUGCAAGUCGAACGGAAAGGCCCUGCUUUUGUGGGGUGCUCGAGUGGCGAACGGGUGAGUAACACGUGAGUAACCUGCCUUUGACUUUGGGAUAACUUCAGGCAACUGGGGCUAAUACCGGAUAGGUGCUCCUGCUGCAUGGUGGGGGUUGGACCGUUCCGGCGGUGGGGGAUGGACUCGGGGCUUAUUAGCUUGUUGGUGGGGUAGUGGCUUACCAAGGCUUUGAUGGGUAGCCGGCCUGGGAGGGUGACCGGCCACAUUGGGACUGAGAUACGGCCCAGAGUCCUACUGGAGGCAGCAGUGGGGAAUAUUGCACAAUGGGCGGAGGCCUGAUGCAGCAACGCCGCGUGCGGGAUGACGGCCUUCGGGUUGGAAACCGCUUUCGCCUAUGACGAAGCGUGAGUGACGGUAAUGGGUAAAGAAGCACCGGCUAACUACGUG